GUGCUUGCUUCAGCAGCACAUACACUAAAAUUGGAACGAUACAGAGAUUAGCAUGGCCCCUGUGCAAGGAUGACACGCAAAUUCCUGAAAUGUUCCGUGUGUGU
Molecule: small nuclear RNA, 104 nt
Filed under: Castor canadensis (American beaver)
Lineage: Eukaryota; Metazoa; Chordata; Mammalia; Rodentia; Castoridae
Source: RNAcentral